GACGAACGCUGGCGGCGCGCCUAACACAUGCAAGUCGAACGGUGAAGAGGAGCUUGCUCCUCGGAUCAGUGGCGGACGGGUGAGUAACACGUGAGCAACUUGGCUCUAAGAGGGGGACAACAGUUGGAAACGACUGCUAAUACCGCAUAACGUAUCGGGAUGGCAUCUUCCUGAUACCAAAGAUUUAUCGCUUAGAGAUGGGCUCGCGUCUGAUUAGAUAGUUGGCGGGGUAACGGCCCACCAAGUCGACGAUCAGUAGCCGGACUGAGAGGUUGAACGGCCACAUUGGGACUGAGACACGGCCCAGACUCCUACGGGAGGCAGCAGUGGGGGAUAUUGGACAAUGGGGGCAACCCUGAUCCAGCGACGCCGCGUGAGGGAAGAAGGUUUUCGGAUUGUAAACCUCUGUUGACGGAGAAAAAAAUGAUGGUAUCCGUUUAGAAAGCCACGGCUAACUACGUGC
RNAcentral lists this ribosomal RNA (463 nucleotides) under uncultured bacterium. RNAcentral describes it as "bacterial SSU rRNA". It matches the Rfam family "Bacterial small subunit ribosomal RNA", at positions 28 to 508 of the family's 1533-position model. The record is from RNAcentral.